Long non-coding RNA from Tupaia belangeri chinensis (Chinese tree shrew), 690 nucleotides. RefSeq lists it as uncharacterized. The record is from RefSeq and is a predicted model, not a curated record. The transcript is spliced from 4 exons. Lineage: Eukaryota; Metazoa; Chordata; Mammalia; Scandentia; Tupaiidae.
AUUCUGCGAAGAGUUCCUUUAGCCAACGCUCCUGCAAGGGCCACACGUGCCCCCUCGGCAUCCAGGUUGACGAAUGGGAGAGGUGGAAGGAACUGGCUGGCCCUGCGGUGUGAGCUGGUGCUGGUCGGCUGCAGCCGAGGGUGUGCAGGCGAGGCCGCCAACCGCACAGAAGGAGCAACGCGGUGUCAGAGCCCUGGGAGCGUGACCAUUUCUCACCCGCGGGCCUUCCUGGCAACUCCAGCUCCUCGGCUUUGAUCGCCUCGCAAAGUCUCUGUUCAUUGAAGGGGACAUCAGAUUCAAAUGCUGAGACACCAGCACUGGAAGGAUGAGAUGGAUGAUUAAAACCCUGGGUUUGUCAGGCCAAAUCCUGACAUCAUUGGUAUUAGUGACAAGAGACACAUUUGGAAAGAAAGUCAUGCACAUUCUGGAGAAAACAAGCUCUACUCCCCUCACAAAGUGACUGCAAUAAAUCCAAAAAGGAAAUCUGUUCGACUGUCCCCCGGGUCGAGACAUGUGGCGCCCGAACAGGGACCCUGAGUAUGAAAGAUUCAGUGAAGAGCACCCAAGAAAGGACGGCAGAGAAUCGUCCAGGAGGGGACAGCAGAGAAUUGUCCCGAGAAAGGCCACAGAGGAGGACAGCAGAGAAUCAAACCGUCUCCAGAUGACCCUGAAGAGCCUGAAGAGUUGUAA